RNAcentral lists this ribosomal RNA (497 nucleotides) under uncultured bacterium. Its description in RNAcentral is "partial 16S ribosomal RNA". It matches the Rfam family "Bacterial small subunit ribosomal RNA", at positions 28 to 507 of the family's 1533-position model. The record is from RNAcentral.
GAUGAACGCUGGCGGCGUGCCUAAUACAUGCCAGUCGAGCGAACAGAUAAGGAGCUUGCUCCUUUGACGUUAGCGGCGGACGGGUGAGUAACACGUGGGUAACCUACCUAUAAGACUGGAAUAACUCCGGGAAACCGGGGCUAAUGCCGGAUAACAUUUAGAACCGCAUGGUUCUAAAGUGAAAGAUGGUUUUGCUAUCACUUAUAGAUGGACCCGCGCCGUAUUAGCUAGUUGGUAAGGUAACGGCUUACCAAGGCAACGAUACGUAGCCGACCUGAGAGGGUGAUCGGCCACACUGGAACUGAGACACGGUCCAGACUCCUACGGGAGGCAGCAGUAGGGAAUCUUCCGCAAUGGGCGAAAGCCUGACGGAGCAACGCCGCGUGAGUGAUGAAGGUCUUCGGAUCGUAAAACUCUGUUAUUAGGGAAGAACAAAUGUGUAAGUAACUAUGCACGUCUUGACGGUACCUAAUCAGAAAGCCACGGCUAACUACGUG